GUGCUCGCUUUGGCAGCACUGCACUAAAAUUGGAACGAUCCAGAGAUUAGCAUGACCCAUGCUCAAGGAUGACACGCAAAUAUGUGCAACAUUCCAUAUUUUU
Small nuclear RNA from Ursus americanus (American black bear), 103 nucleotides. NCBI's taxonomy places the organism in Eukaryota, Metazoa, Chordata, Mammalia, Carnivora, Ursidae. The record is from Ensembl.